Molecule: unclassified non-coding RNA, 299 nt
Organism: Callithrix jacchus (white-tufted-ear marmoset)
Lineage: Eukaryota; Metazoa; Chordata; Mammalia; Primates; Cebidae
Rfam family: Metazoan signal recognition particle RNA
About the family: The signal recognition particle (SRP) is a universally conserved ribonucleoprotein.
Source: Ensembl
GCUAGGUGUGGUGGCACAUGCCUGUAGUCCCAGCUACUUGGGAGGCUGGGGUGGGAGAAUCGCUUGAGCCCAGGAGUUCUGGGCUGUAGUGUGCUAUGCUGAUCUGGUGUCCUCACUAAGUUCGGCAUCAAUGUGGUGACCUCCCAGGAGUGGGGGACCACCAGGUUGCCUAAGAAGGGGUGAAAUGGCCCAGGUUAGAACAGAGCAGGUCAAAACUCCUGUGCUGAUCAGUAGUGGGACUGCGCCUGUGAAUAGCCACUGCACUCCAGCCUGAGCAACAUAGCGAGACCCCUCUCUAA